RNAcentral lists this transfer RNA (68 nucleotides) under Warodia hoso. Its description in RNAcentral is "tRNA-His". Lineage: Eukaryota; Metazoa; Arthropoda; Insecta; Hemiptera; Cicadellidae. The record is from RNAcentral.
AUUAAAAUAGCUUAAAUUAUUAUCAAGCAAGGAUUUGUGGAAUCCUAGAUCCCAAAWGGGUUUUAAUU